RNAcentral lists this ribosomal RNA (494 nucleotides) under Escherichia coli. Its description in RNAcentral is "partial 23S ribosomal RNA". It matches the Rfam family "Bacterial large subunit ribosomal RNA", at positions 711 to 1203 of the family's 2925-position model. The record is from RNAcentral. Lineage: Bacteria; Pseudomonadati; Pseudomonadota; Gammaproteobacteria; Enterobacterales; Enterobacteriaceae.
AGACCCGAAACCCGGUGAUCUAGCCAUGGGCAGGUUGAAGGUUGGGUAACACUAACUGGAGGACCGAACCGACUAAUGUUGAAAAAUUAGCGGAUGACUUGUGGCUGGGGGUGAAAGGCCAAUCAAACCGGGAGAUAGCUGGUUCUCCCCGAAAGCUAUUUAGGUAGCGCCUCGUGAAUUCAUCUCCGGGGGUAGAGCACUGUUUCGGCAAGGGGGUCAUCCCGACUUACCAACCCGAUGCAAACUGCGAAUACCGGAGAAUGUUAUCACGGGAGACACACGGCGGGUGCUAACGUCCGUCGUGAAGAGGGAAACAACCCAGACCGCCAGCUAAGGUCCCAAAGUCAUGGUUAAGUGGGAAACGAUGUGGGAAGGCCCAGACAGCCAGGAUGUUGGCUUAGAAGCAGCCAUCAUUUAAAGAAAGCGUAAUAGCUCACUGGUCGAGUCGGCCUGCGCGGAAGAUGUAACGGGGCUAAACCAUGCACCGAAGCUGC